UACGGGGGGAGCAAGCGUUGUCCGGAUUUAUUGGGCGUAAAGAGCGUGUAGGCGGCCAGGUAGGUCCGUUGUGAAAACUCGAGGCUCAACCUCGAGACGUCGAUGGAAACCAUCUGGCUAGAGUCCGGAAGAGGAGAGUGGAAUUCCUGGUGUAGCGGUGAAAUGCGCAGAUAUCAGGAAGAACACCUAUGGCGAAGGCAGCUCUCUGGGACGGUACUGACGCUGAGACGCGAAAGCGUGGGGAGCGAACAGG
This 253-nucleotide ribosomal RNA is filed under the name uncultured bacterium. Its description in RNAcentral is "partial 16S ribosomal RNA". It matches the Rfam family "Bacterial small subunit ribosomal RNA", at positions 524 to 776 of the family's 1533-position model. The record is from RNAcentral.